UACGGAGGGUGCAAGCGUUAUCCGGAUUUACUGGGUUUAAAGGGUGUGUAGGCGGGCUUUUAAGUCAGUGGUGAAAUCUCCGGGCUCAACCUGGAAACUGCCAUUGAUACUAUUAGUCUUGAAUUUUGUUGAGGUAGGCGGAAUAAGUCAUGUAGCGGUGAAAUGCAUAGAUAUGACAUAGAACACCAAUUGCGAAGGCAGCUUACUACACAACGAUUGACGCUGAGGCACGAAAGCGUGGGGAUCAAACAGG
This 253-nucleotide ribosomal RNA is filed under the name uncultured bacterium. RNAcentral describes it as "partial 16S ribosomal RNA". It matches the Rfam family "Bacterial small subunit ribosomal RNA", at positions 524 to 776 of the family's 1533-position model. The record is from RNAcentral.